UACGGAGGGUGCGAGCGUUGUCCGGAAUCACUGGGCGUAAAGGGCGCGUAGGCGGCGCGAGUAGUCAACGGUGAAAGCCCGGGGCUCAACCCCGGGUCGGCCGUCGAUACUCUCGUGCUUGAGCACUGUAGAGGCAGGUGGAAUUCCGGGUGUAGCGGUGGAAUGCGUAGAGAUCCGGAAGAACACCGGUGGCGAAGGCGGCCUGCUGGGCAGUAGCUGACGCUGAGGCGCGACAGCGUGAGGAGCAAACAGG
Molecule: ribosomal RNA, 253 nt
Filed under: uncultured bacterium
Lineage: Bacteria
Description: partial 16S ribosomal RNA
Rfam family: Bacterial small subunit ribosomal RNA
Source: RNAcentral